RNAcentral lists this ribosomal RNA (1372 nucleotides) under uncultured bacterium. RNAcentral's name for it is "bacterial SSU rRNA". It matches the Rfam family "Bacterial small subunit ribosomal RNA", at positions 28 to 1381 of the family's 1533-position model. The record is from RNAcentral.
GAUGAACGCUGGCGGCGUGCCUAAUACAUGCAAGUCGAGCGAACGGACGAGAAGCUUGCUUCUCUGAUGUUAGCGGCGGACGGGUGAGUAACACGUGGAUAACCUACCUAUAAGACUGGGAUAACUUCGGGAAACCGGAGCUAAUACCGGAUAAUAUUUUGAACCGCAUGGUUCAAAAGUGAAAGACGGUCUUGCUGUCACUUAUAGAUGGAUCCGCGCUGCAUUAGCUAGUUGGUAAGGUAACGGCUUACCAAGGCAACGAUGCAUAGCCGACCUGAGAGGGUGAUCGGCCACACUGGAACUGAGACACGGUCCAGACUCCUACGGGAGGCAGCAGUAGGGAAUCUUCCGCAAUGGGCGAAAGCCUGACGGAGCAACGCCGCGUGAGUGAUGAAGGUCUUCGGAUCGUAAAACUCUGUUAUUAGGGAAGAACAUAUGUGUAAGUAACUGUGCACAUCUUGACGGUACCUAAUCAGAAAGCCACGGCUAACUACGUGCCAGCAGCCGCGGUAAUACGUAGGUGGCAAGCGUUAUCCGGAAUUAUUGGGCGUAAAGCGCGCGUAGGCGGUUUUUUAAGUCUGAUGUGAAAGCCCACGGCUCAACCGUGGAGGGUCAUUGGAAACUGGAAAACUUGAGUGCAGAAGAGAAAAGUGGAAUUCCAUGUGUAGCGGUGAAAUGCGCAGAGAUAUGGAGGAACACCAGUGGCGAAGGCGACUUUCUGGUCUGUAACUGACGCUGAUGUGCGAAAGCGUGGGGAUCAAACAGGAUUAGAUACCCUGGUAGUCCACGCCGUAAACGAUGAGUGCUAAGUGUUAGGGGGUUUCCGCCCCUUAGUGCUGCAGCUAACGCAUUAAGCACUCCGCCUGGGGAGUACGACCGCAAGGUUGAAACUCAAAGGAAUUGACGGGGACCCGCACAAGCGGUGGAGCAUGUGGUUUAAUUCGAAGCAACGCGAAGAACCUUACCAAAUCUUGACAUCCUUUGACAACUCUAGAGAUAGAGCCUUCCCCUUCGGGGGACAAAGUGACAGGUGGUGCAUGGUUGUCGUCAGCUCGUGUCGUGAGAUGUUGGGUUAAGUCCCGCAACGAGCGCAACCCUUAAGCUUAGUUGCCAUCAUUAAGUUGGGCACUCUAAGUUGACUGCCGGUGACAAACCGGAGGAAGGUGGGGAUGACGUCAAAUCAUCAUGCCCCUUAUGAUUUGGGCUACACACGUGCUACAAUGGACAAUACAAAGGGCAGCGAAACCGCGAGGUCAAGCAAAUCCCAUAAAGUUGUUCUCAGUUCGGAUUGUAGUCUGCAACUCGACUACAUGAAGCUGGAAUCGCUAGUAAUCGUAGAUCAGCAUGCUACGGUGAAUACGUUCCCGGGUCU